UACGUAGGGUGCAAGCGUUUAAUCGGAAUUACUGGGCGUAAAGCGUGCGCAGGCGGCUUUGCAAGACAGAUGUGAAAUCCCCGGGCUCAACCUGGGAACUGCAUUUGUGACUGCAUGGCUGGAGUGCGGCAGAGGGGGAUGGAAUUCCGCGUGUAGCAGUGAAAUGCGUAGAUAUGCGGAGGAACACCGAUGGCGAAGGCAAUCCCCUGGGCCUGCACUGACGUCAUGCACGAAAGCGUGGGGAGCAAACAGG
This 253-nucleotide ribosomal RNA is filed under the name uncultured bacterium. Its description in RNAcentral is "partial 16S ribosomal RNA". It matches the Rfam family "Bacterial small subunit ribosomal RNA", at positions 524 to 776 of the family's 1533-position model. The record is from RNAcentral.